Non-coding RNA from Pelobates cultripes (western spadefoot toad), 672 nucleotides. NCBI's taxonomy places the organism in Eukaryota, Metazoa, Chordata, Amphibia, Anura, Pelobatidae. The record is from the annotation of a GenBank genome assembly.
GGGAUAGUAGUGUUAAGCUAGUUUUCAGGAAUUUAGAGCUAAUGCAGCAUUUAUGGGUAAGUAUAAAAAUAUUGUCCCAUUCCUGCUCUGUCAGUGUGGUUCCUGUCUCCCUCUCCAAUUUAGCUAUGUAUUUCGGGGCGUAUUUGUGUUCCCCAUUGGCGAGCAUGGUGUAUAAUACAGAGAUCCCCUGACCGUGUGUUGUCUGCCUGUGCAUAAAGAUUCAAAUUGUGUAAGGUCCCUGUGGAGGGGGCUCUUGCAGGGAAAGGCUGCAUAGUAUGUCUUAAGUCGGUGGUAGCGGUAUUUAUCCAUCCCAAUAGGGAUGGCUUCAGAAAUUAUAUCCGCCAGGGGUUUAAGUUGGGAUCUGUCAACACUGGCGUACGUACAGCCAGUCUGUUUGUGUAAAACGGUGGAGUUCUGCUGGUGUUAGGCUCCCACCAAAGUCAGGGUUAUACGUGAUUGUCGUCAGGGGGCAAGGUGAUGAAGUUAGUUGUGGAAACCUUUGGGAGCACUACACUUGCACGGUGGCAUCUAUUAUUGGGCUGCCAGUUCGUAAGAAGCUAAAGUCCUGUUUCCCAGCCAGAGUAAUGAGGGGAUUUUACCAGCCGCUUGGACCGUCUCUGCAUGAACCCAGAGUUCAGCAGUGUGACGGCCGUGCCAAUUGGUGAUUCUGAG